Chrysemys picta bellii (western painted turtle) is the source of this 2488-nucleotide non-coding RNA. NCBI's taxonomy places the organism in Eukaryota, Metazoa, Chordata, Testudines, Emydidae. The record is from RefSeq and is a predicted model, not a curated record.
UGGCCUGGGGAGUUCCCAGGCUGAGGCCUUGCUAAAGGCCAGGGGAGGUACUAGGGCUGCAGGGAGGCAGCUGGGGCUAGAAAGGCAGUAGGUCCAACCCCCUUGCCAGUGAUGAGUGGCCCUUAAAGACUGCUGUUUGCACCUGAGAGAAGGGUCUAGAUGAUGACUCGCAGUAGUCACUGAGGUGAGGUGGGUAUAGGGGGUUGGGGUUCCCCUGGGAGGGGAGACCCAGACCCCUGGGGGCACUGCUGUGGGGUAACACCCCAAAGUAAGGGACACUGGGGUCCAGGAGGGACGCAGGGCCUGAAGUGUUACAAGUGGUGGAGAUUCACAGGAAGCAGGUACUGGUAGGAAGAUACCGGCCAGCAGGAGGUGCUCCGAGGCUGGAAUCGAGCUAAUUCACGGACGACCAGCAGGAGGCGCUGCACCAACCUGGUCUUCUGACCUCCUUUGCCGUUCCAAUGAUCUUUGAAGCCUUAUCUUCUAGAGGCAAAGCAAACAAUGCUCAAGAGAAACUGCGACUAACUUUGAAAGCAGAAAUCCCUGAAGUUGCUAUUGCCCUUGGAACCUUUGCAUAUGAUUAUGCUAUGCUUCUCUGCUGGAGUUUUGUUUGAUGGUGGUUGGACGGAAACAUUUUUGGGCAGGUCCUUGGAAAAACAAAGGGAAAAGAGGUUUUUAAAGCAGUUAUGUGAAAGUCGGCAAUGAAAAUACAUUCAACUGAACAGAACCUACAGAUAUAAUCUUGUGCAUCUGGAAUGAAGGGGAAAACACAGACAUUCCUCAUGUUCAACUGAGUUCACUCAAGGAAAGAUACAGACCGAAACUGUGCUUAGUUCUAGUGCUAAUUUAUGCUGCAGUAGUACAAUACAAAUGGCUGUAUGUUGAAAAUGUAGCAAAAUUGUAGUAGGUUACAAUCAAAUAUUUUCAACCUAAUGGUUAAUUGCUAUUUAUGACAUCUGAUGGUACAUCAUAUAAUUGUACAGAAAAGGUAUUUAUUACAAGAUUUUUUUCUCCUUUGUUCUCGUUAUCCAUAGUGAAUACAAAACAUUUGCAAAAUGCUUAUAAGGUCAGCCUGAGCAUCUAAAUGUGUACAACAUUACAAUAAGCCAUCCAGAGCACAAGAUGAAAGUUCCAUUUCACAAAGGAUGUGAGAUUUUGAAAUUUGGCUUCUUUCUGAAUUAAACCUGAACACUUCAAAAUUCUGGAAAAUUCUGAAGAAAGGAAAACUAUUUCAGGUCAAUCACAACAUUUUGUUUCAACAAAAUUGAAAUAUUUUUGUUGACUUUUUAAAAUUUGUGUGUGUGUGUGUGUGUAAUACAAAACAAAGUUGCUUAAAAACAUCAAAACAUUUUGUUCUGAAAAUAUUGAAAUGGGGUACGUUGAAACUGUCAAACUUUUCCCCCCCCAUUUUCUUCCGAAACAAAAUUUGGGUGAAAUUUACCUGAUUUAGUGAAGUGUUUCAGUUUCUAUGGAAUUGCAUAUUCUGAUAGAACAUGGUUCUGUUGAAGUUUCUCCAGCCAGCACUAAUUUUAUAACCUCUUGUAAAUGUGAUGGAGAGAGAAUAUACAAAUAAGUGGAGAGAGUAAAGAUUUUAUCUGCAUAGGUUUUCAGCCAUUGGCAAGAAAUGUUAUUUCUGCUCCUGUUUCUGUAUUUUUUUUCCCUGUUCCUAUGUAUACUAGGAUAGCUUAUAAAAUUAUCCUUCCAUAUUAUUUCAGAUAAGGUUUGGUACGUAGUCAGAGGUCCCUAGAUAGGCAAACUCUCAUUGUCUUCAAUGGAGAAUUUCUUGAUUUAGCCCAAUAUUUUUGCUCAUGUGUGCAUAUGGUUAAGGUCAUUUUGACAUGAGAAUACUAUAGCUGUGUGUAUACUCAUGCCCAUCAAAUACUUUUUUUUUAAAAUUUGGUUUGAUCAUUAGAUUUAUGAGAACACAGGAGGAAAUACUGGACAACAAACGUUGUAAUCUUGCAUGGUCCAAGUUCUGCUCUGAAUCACGAGGUGGAGGGACUCAUCUCAUGCUGCAUAGAAGCAGAGGAGGCAGAGGGCAUGCACAAAGAUGAGUCUUCGUCUGUGCUCACUCUUUCCCGAGAGAGGAGGGGACAUAACAAGAGAGAAAAGAUGCAGAAAAAGAGAAGAGAGACCAGAGAGUAAAUACAAAGGAAAGAAUGAACCUCCGGCAGAGAGGAACUGGAAACAGUCAGAGAAGGUGGAAGAAAGAAGUGAAGAAAGAGGGAGAGAGAGAAAAUACCCCAAGUGAAAGACAACUUCUAGGAUCAGGCAUUCCACGGGUGCGGAGGGGGCACCUCUCCAGGCCACAACGGCAGCAGCUACAGAUCAAACAGACAGAUGUAUCAUUGUACUUGCAGUCACAAUGGAAAGCAAAAGAUAAGAUUCAGAACUCCCUUCCUUUAUUCGCAUGAGAGUUUUAAAUAAGACUUGCUUAUUGCCACUUCAGCUUUGGAGCACCUCUGCACAGCACUGCUCUCCAAUCAUA